Long non-coding RNA from Patella vulgata (common limpet), 5001 nucleotides. RefSeq lists it as uncharacterized. The record is from RefSeq and is a predicted model, not a curated record. The transcript is spliced from 2 exons. NCBI's taxonomy places the organism in Eukaryota, Metazoa, Mollusca, Gastropoda, Patellidae.
GUGUGGUAGCCUAAGGUUACCCACCUUGAAGUGUGGUAGCCUAAGGUAACCCAACUUGAAGUGUGGUAGCCUAAGGUAACACACCUUGAAGUGUUGUUGCCUAAGGUAACCCACCUUGAAGUGUUGUAGCCUAAGGUAAGCCACCUUGAAGUGUGGUUGCCUAUGGUACCCACAUUGAAGUAUUUGUUGCCUAUGGUAACCCACAUUGAAUUGUAUUUGUCUAUUGUAUCCACAUUGAAGUGUGGUUACCUACGGUACCCCCACAUUGAUGUGUGGUCGUCACCCAUGUUCAUCUGUAGUUUCCAAUUCUUGUAAAGAUUCUGAAUGUCACAAUGUCAUAGUGGAUGAGCAUAACUGAUAUGUCAAUAACUUUAAGAAUUAAUAUAAUCAAAUAAUCAAUACUCAUCCAAAUAGGGCUAACACCCUUAAAUAUGUAUGUUUUACGGGCCUACAUAUAUGUUAUCUACCGUUACGCCCUUCAUUAGCCCAGUCAGAGCAGAACAGUAGGUCAUUAAACCCCAUUUUAUUUCAGUUCCUUUAUGUAUGUUUUAGGGACCUAUGUUAUAUUGGUACACCCAUUAUAUAUGUUUUAGGGGCCAGGUCCUAUGCUAUCUACCUGUACACCCUUUAUUUAUGUUUUAGGGGCCUAUGUUAUCUACAUCCUGCAUGUGAUAUUUAUAUAAGGAUGUUUUAAGGGCCUACAUGGACAUUAUGCUAUUUACAUCAUUCCUAUAUGAAAUAUAUAAGGAUGGUUAAGGGGCCUACAUCAACAUCCUACAUGUAAUAUUUAUGUAAGUUAUCUAUCGUUAUACCCUUUAUGAAUGUUUUAGGGACCUACACAUAUGUUAUCAGAAAGUUUAUUCCAGUCUAUCACAGUUCUGAUGAAGAAUGAGUGGUUGUGAGUGACCGUUUUCGCGACGUUUACUGUGAAGCACUUCGCAUUGGAAGUAGCAGAGUUUUCAACAAUGUUUAUUGUAUUAAAGUUUGUGAAUGUUUUAGGUGUUAUCCGACGUGUUAAAUUUGUGUUUAUAAUAUCCUAAUAAACAACCCAUUUGAAUGUUUUAGGGACCUACACAUAUGUUAUCUACCAGCACACCCUUUAUGGAUGUUUUAGGAAUCUAUGUAAUUAUCUACCACGAUGUUUAGGGGCCUAUGUUAUCUAACCCAACACCCAUGAUGUAUUUUUUAGUAGCCUAUGACAUUAGUGUCUUGUAAAUGCUCCAAUUUCCUACACAAGAAUAAAUAUGAUAACCCUUAAUAUCAACUGCUCAGACAAUUUUAGCUGAUGUUUUGCUGCCUCAGCUGACAACCCAUUAUUACUUUUUAUGUUAUGUGACUGGCAGUGAAAUUGACCCACCUGUCAACUUACUUGUUAGUCAGUUUUACAUGCCAUUAAAGUAGGAUUUCAAAGAAUUUAAUACAUGCAAUCUAAUUUACAGUUUUUAUGUGGGGAAAAAAAACAACUUAAAAUUGGGAUAAUUGUUAAAUAAUUGUCAUAUUCUUUAAAAAAAAAAAAAAAAAUAUCUUGCCAAAUCAGAGAAAGAUAAAUUAGGUCAAAAAUUGACUGACUGGCAAAAAUUUUAAAUGAAAGCCUUGAUGUUACACAUGAUUAAACAAAAUUUUGAAGAGCCAGCUGGUUAGGUCUUAAUAUUAAGGCUACCUGCAGAAUUCAUCAAGGUCACAAGAUAUAAAAAGGGCUAGCGCUAACACUAACCCACAAUCCUCGGCAACAAUCUCAUGACUUCAACGAAAUCUGCAGGUGGCCUUAAUAUUUAGACCUGACCAGCGAAAGCCCUUUUGAGCGAACACAGAGCUCAAACUCACAUGAUCAAACAUUAUAAUAUGUUGCAUUUUUGUCCCAAAUGAUAUUCCUUGCUUUAAAAUGAUACUACAAUUGUUCACAAAAUUGUCUAAAACAUUUCUAUAAGAUUGUUGAAAAAAACUAAUGAGAUUGUUUGAUAGUUUGUGAUUUUAGUCUGUGGUACAUCUCACGUCUUCAUCUCGGGUAUCGUUUCUCUUUUUUCAAUAAUUAAGUGAUCAAGUAGCUCUUGUGAUAUGCACUCUUAGGGUCAUGUUCCUGAACACUGAUUACAGUCGCACUUUUGACAGUGUGCAAGGCUUUUGUCGAAAUGGAUAAAACGUCUUUAAGCUGGAAUUUUCAAUUCACAAUUGAAUUCUAAAGAUUGUGGAAGCAGAUGUUAUUCCACUACCCUACCGUGCUGGAGUUUGGGACUAGAAUCGUCGAACACGGCGGAAAACGCUCUGUUUUGUGGUGGAAUCUUGGAGAAUCGCUCGAGAAACGGCAGCUAGCCAAAUCACCUCGAAAUAAGGUGUUUCACAAUGUAUUACAGUGUUUCGCGUUGGAACACAGUGUUUCCCGUUGGAACACAGUGAAUUGCUUGAUAUCGUCCCGUUUUAAGCAUGUUGGAAGAAAAAUGUAAUCUAUUUAAGCUACCUACUACUGCCCCCCCCCACCCCAAUCUAUCAAACCACUCAUGCAAGUGAUCAAUGCAAUUCUACAUAUAGUAAUGUAACACUGUUGAAAAAGCAAAUAUGGCAAUAUCAUUUCCAAGAAAUUCACAAUUUUCAGGUAUAUAGGGUAUGUAUAUUUACAUGGCCGCCCUGUUUAAUCUGGGUAAUUUCCCCUUAAAUCAAUGUUCAGGAUUAUGGCCUUUGAUGUUGCUAAUAUUGUAAAUAUAUUGUUGUAAAUUUGUACAAAGAUUCAUAAAAAAAAAGGUUUGUUUGUUAUUUUAAAUUCGCAUAUUUAUAAGUGAUCACUUUAUUUUUCUUCUGAAUUAAAUUUGCUAAAACUUUUAUUUUGUUCCAGUCUCCACAGGCUAAUAUUUAUUGCUGUAAAUAGAGCAUCCUGCAGAUUAAAGUUGCAUUAUGUAAGAUUUAGAUAAAGUGCUGAUUGAAAAUAUAUUGUAAAAUUCAUUUAAAUUAUUUUAUUCUUGUCGAAGUUAUUAUGUAAUUGAAGUCUUGAUUAUCCAUUUUAAAUUAUUAAGUCGUGACAGUGUUCUAAUCCAUUAAAUAUUACAACUACUUGACGAUCGUUGAUACGGGCUUGUGUGAAUAUAUGCCUAAUUAAUCCUUUUUAUAAAGCAAAAAGUGGUGCAGGACGUAGCGCCGGACAAGGACAGUUGUCUAGUUGUUCAGAUAGGACGAAAAAUCAAGCUCCCGUGUAUACAUUGUGUGCAAGUAAAAGAUCCCUUGGCAGUUGGAAUUCGAUAUAAGAGUAGGCCAUAGUGCCGCUACCUGGGCAAAAUUCCCCUCAUAGCACACUGCAUGGCGUAUGCCUGUAUUCAUUAGCCCAGUUGAAGAAGAACAGUAGGAUAUUAUAUUAAACCCCAUUUCAUUUCAUUUUCAUUUUAUAAAGCAAAAAAGUGACCUACAAUAGACAGGCCUAGCGCUUACAUAAUGCAUCUUUAAAUCAUUAUUUAAUAAGCUAUUGUAAAUUUUUUGUUAAUUUUUAUUUGUUUUAAAUUGUUGACCCAGAUUCAUAAUGAUUUUAAGAAGGUGCAAAGGAUACUAUAUCCCCUUGUUUUGAGCAUGAAUUCUCAGUCAAUGAACAUUUGCUGUUCAUGAGGUUUUUUUUUACAUUUUUGCACCAAAAAACCCCCCAAUAAACAAUAGUUUUGAUCUGUAUUGUAUGCUGUUUCAAUUCAUGUGUAACAAACAUCCGUUUACAAGCAAUCAUUGAUAGGCUUAAAUUGAUUCCUUGGCAUUUAGUAAUUUAAACAGGCUUAUUCAAGAGCUACAUCUGCAUAUUGCAGGUCUUUCUUUAGGCCUUGGGGGGGGGCUGUAUCAUAAGGCAUGUUAUUGAGUCAGCUGGCGUGGUUUCGAUUCCCUGGUUAUACGUGACAAGGAGUAAGGUCACCUGUCCCCAUCCUUGUGGGUUUUCUCCGGGUCCUCUGAUUUCCUCCCACUGCCAAAGACCCCUAUGCGCAAGCGAUUUAUUGAAAUAAAAUUAAAUGAUGUGUUAGUCCUGAAAUGACCUAGUUUGUGUGGAAUGGAUGUUAAACCCCAUCUCUCUCUCUAUAUAUAUUUAGAAAUUCACAUUACCCAGUCAUAGAAUCCUAGUGGAAAGAUCACUAGGUAUUAAAACAGUAAUGGGUCUAGUCUGAGGAAUUGUUCUCAAAAUAACAUACCAAAGUUAUAGGAAAUAAUAAUGAAUAUACAUGGAGUUGAGUUAAGAGUGUGGGGCAGAUUAUCUUAAUUUUAUAUAUUGGUUUAUAAAAUGUAAAAGCCAAACAAAAAGUGUCAGUAGUCUAUGGUUGGGAGGUGCAUGUACACCAAUGUAAUGUCACAAAAAGGUAAAUUUACCAUCUGGUAGGACAUGCUCUUCCAGUCAUGGUUUUCUGGCCUGGAACAACUGACUCUGAGAUUGACCUUCUGUGGAAUUUACCCUCUGAGUAAUUCACUUGAAUUAUUUAGGUAAUUACAAGUUAAAUCAGCCUAAAUAUUACAAAUCAAAUCUAGCUCCGGUUUCACAAAAUGUUCUCAGGUUUAAGUCAAGAAUGUUUGCCUUAUGGUUAUGGUUAGCAUGCGCGGGCUGUAUCAUGAGGUCUGUCACUGAGUCAACUGGCUUAAUUUCGAAUCCCCGGUUGUAUGUGACAAGGAGUAGGGUCGCCUGUCCAACCUCGUGGGUUUUCUCUGGGUCCUCCGGUUUCCUCCAACUGCUAAAGACCCCUACUCUCAAGCGAAUUAUUGAAAUAAAAUUGAACCAUGUGUUAGUCCCAAAAUGACCUAGUUUGUGUCAAGUGGAUGUUAAACCUCAUUUCUCUCUCUCCCUCUCUCUUUUAGACAAGUCUUUUUCGCCAAACAAAUAAGAAAACAAUUUUACAAGCAGGUACUUUUGAUUUUUUCCAAAGAACAGAAAAUCAAUUAGCUGUGGCCUUAUGUAAAUCUAUGUUGAACAAUGCGAUUUUUUUUUAUCUUAAUAAUUCUAUUGUUAUCAAUGUUCUGUCAGACAAAUAAAGAUAUUGAUUCAUUUUGAACCUA